This 75-nucleotide transfer RNA is filed under the name Acidimicrobiales bacterium. RNAcentral describes it as "tRNA-Gly". It matches the Rfam family "tRNA". Rfam says of the family: Transfer RNA (tRNA) molecules are approximately 80 nucleotides in length. Lineage: Bacteria; Bacillati; Actinomycetota; Acidimicrobiia; Acidimicrobiales. The record is from RNAcentral.
GCGGGUGUAGCUCAAUGGCUAGAGUCUCUGCCUUCCAAGCAGAUUAUGCGGGUUCGAUUCCCGUCACCCGCUCCA